AUUUUCUGGAAACAGAGAAGUGCUUUAGCAAUAAAGGAACCCGGUGACAGGUGCUGCAUGGGCUGUCGUCAGCUCGUGUCGUGAGAUGUUGGGUUAAGUCCCGCAACGAGCGCAACCUCGCCUUAGUUGCCAGCAUUCAGUUGGGCACUCUAGAGGGACUGGCCGGUGUCAAACCGGAGGAAGGUGGGAUGACGUCAAGUCCUCAUGGCCUUAUGUCUAGGGCUACACACGUACUACAAUGGCCGGUACAAAGGGCAGCCACUCAGCGAUGAGGCGCUAAUCCCAUAAAGCCGGUCUCAGUCCGGAUCGCAGUCUGCAACUCGACUGCGUGAAGUUGGAAUCGCUAGUAAUCGUAGAUCAGCAUGCCUACGGUCCGAAUACGUUCCGGGCCUU
This 393-nucleotide ribosomal RNA is filed under the name uncultured Desulfovibrio sp. RNAcentral describes it as "bacterial SSU rRNA". It matches the Rfam family "Bacterial small subunit ribosomal RNA", at positions 995 to 1382 of the family's 1533-position model. The record is from RNAcentral. Lineage: Bacteria; Pseudomonadati; Thermodesulfobacteriota; Desulfovibrionia; Desulfovibrionales; Desulfovibrionaceae.